AUUUGAAAUCCCCCGGGAAUUGUAAUUUGAAGAGAUUUGAGGUCCGGCCGGCAGGGGUUAAGUCCACUGGAAAGUGGCGCCACAGAGGGUGACAGCCCCGUGAACCCCUUUAACGCCCUCAUCCCAGAUCUCCAAGAGUCGAGUUGUUUGGGAAUGCAGCUCUAAGUGGGUGGUAAAUUCCAUCUAAAGCUAAAUACCGGCGAGAGACCGAUAGCGAACAAGUACAGUGAUGGAAAGAUGAAAAGCACUUUGAAAAGAGAGUGAAAAAGUACGUGAAAUUGUUGAAAGGGAAGGGCUUGCAAGCAGACACUUAACUGGGCCAGCAUCGGGGCGGCGGGGAGCAAAACCACCGGGGAAUGUACCUUUCGAGGAUUAUAACCCCGGUCCUUACUCCCUCACCAUCCCGAGGCCUGCAAUCUAAGGAUGCUGGCGUAAUGGUUGCAAGUCGCCCGUCUUGAAACACGG
Molecule: ribosomal RNA, 465 nt
Filed under: Metschnikowia pulcherrima
Lineage: Eukaryota; Fungi; Ascomycota; Pichiomycetes; Serinales; Metschnikowiaceae
Description: eukaryotic LSU rRNA
Rfam family: Eukaryotic large subunit ribosomal RNA
Source: RNAcentral